Molecule: ribosomal RNA, 407 nt
Filed under: uncultured bacterium
Lineage: Bacteria
Description: partial 16S ribosomal RNA
Rfam family: Bacterial small subunit ribosomal RNA
Source: RNAcentral
GACGAACGCUGGCGGCGCGCUUAACACAUGCAAGUCGAGCGCAGCGGCGGACGGGUGAGUAACAAGUGAGUAACCUGCCUUCGACAUUGGGAUCGCCUAGGGAAACCGGGAUUCAUACCAAAUGGUCUAAGAUGGACUCGCGUCCCAUUAGCUAGUUGGUGAGGUAACGGCCCACCAAUGCGACGAUGGGUAGCCGGCCUGGGAGGGUGAACGGCCACAUUGGGACUGAGAAACGUUCCAAAAUCUACGGGAGGCAGCAGUGGGGAAAAGGGCACAAGGGAUGGAAAUCUGAAGCAGCGCCGCCGCGUGAACGAAGAAGGCUUUCGAGUCUUAAAGUUCUUUUAUAUGGGAAGCGGUACCAUAAGAAAAAGCCCCGGCUAACUACGUGCCAGCAGCCGCGGUAAUAC